Molecule: ribosomal RNA, 460 nt
Filed under: uncultured bacterium
Lineage: Bacteria
Description: partial 16S ribosomal RNA
Rfam family: Bacterial small subunit ribosomal RNA
Source: RNAcentral
CCUACGGGUGGCAGCAGUGAGGAAUAUUGGUCAAUGGACGAGAGUCUGAACCAGCCAAGUAGCGUGAAGGAUGACUGCCCUAUGGGUUGUAAACUUCUUUUAUAUGGGAAUAAAAUGUUCCACGUGUGGGAUUUUGUAUGUACCAUAUGAAUAAGGAUCGGCUAACUCCGUGCCAGCAGCAGCGGUAAUACGGAGGAUCCGAGCGUUAUCCGGAUUUAUUGGGUUUAAAGGGAGCGUAGGUGGAUUGUUAAGUCAGUUGUGAAAUUUUGCGGCUCAACCGUAAAAUUGCAGUUGAAACUGGCAGUCUUGAGUACAGUAGAGGUGGGCGGAAUUCGUGGUGUAGCGGUGAAAUGCUUAGAUAUCACGAAGAACUCCGAUUGCGAAGGCAGCUCACUGGACUGCAACUGACACUGAGGCUCGAAAGUGUGGGUAUCAAACAGGAUUAGAUACCCCUGUAGUC